GCUGGGGGCGCGGUGGCGCACGUCUGUAAUCCCAGCUACCCGGGAGGCUCAGGCAGGAGGAUCGCAAGUUCGAGGGCAGCCUCAGCAAUUUAGCAAGACCCGGUCUCAA
This 109-nucleotide small RNA is filed under the name Marmota monax (woodchuck). The record is from RNAcentral. Lineage: Eukaryota; Metazoa; Chordata; Mammalia; Rodentia; Sciuridae.